AGCCCAAGCUUAAAACCCAAAGGACUUGACGGUGUCCCACCCACCUAGAGGAGCCUGUUCUAUAAUCGAUUCCCCCCGAUCUACCUCACCACUUCUAGCCUAUCAGCCUGUAUACCUCCGUCGUAAGCUUACCAUAUGAACGUCUUCCAGUGAGCUAAAAGAUUAUACAUAAAUACGUCAGGUCAAGGUGCAGCCCACGAUGUGGAAAGAAAUGGGCUACAAUUUCUAUAUUAGAACACAACGAAAGACUACAUGCAACUCAGUCAUGAAGGCGGAUUUAGUAGUAAAAAGAAAGUAGAGAGUUCUUUUUAAUUAGGCGCUGGGACGCGUACACACCGCCCGUCACCCUCUUCAAACGCUUUAACUACGUUUAUAACACUUUUAUGCACCACAGAAGAGGUAAGUCGUAACACGGUAAGUGUACUGGAAAGUGCACUUGGAUAAA
RNAcentral lists this ribosomal RNA (445 nucleotides) under Microhyla okinavensis (Okinawa rice frog). RNAcentral's name for it is "partial 12S ribosomal RNA". It matches the Rfam family "Bacterial small subunit ribosomal RNA", at positions 885 to 1525 of the family's 1533-position model. The record is from RNAcentral. Lineage: Eukaryota; Metazoa; Chordata; Amphibia; Anura; Microhylidae.